Molecule: ribosomal RNA, 654 nt
Filed under: Inocybe subfibrosoides
Lineage: Eukaryota; Fungi; Basidiomycota; Agaricomycetes; Agaricales; Inocybaceae
Description: partial large subunit ribosomal RNA
Rfam family: Eukaryotic large subunit ribosomal RNA
Source: RNAcentral
AUGCAGCUCAAAAUGGGUGGUAAAUGCCAUCUAAAGCUAAAUAUUGGCGAGAGACCGAUAGCGAACAAGUACCGUGAGGGAAAGAUGAAAAGAACUUUGGAAAGAGAGUUAAACAGUACGUGAAAUUGCUGAAAGGGAAACGCUUGAAGUCAGUCGCGUCGGCUGGAAAUCAGCCUUGCUUUUGCUUGGUGUACUUUCUGGUUGAUGGGUCAGCAUCAAUUUUGACCACUGGAUAAAGUCUUUGGGAAUGUGGCAUCUUUGGAUGUGUUAUAGCCCAUUGUCGCAUGCAGUGGUUGGGAUUGAGGAACUCAGCACGCCGCAAGGCCGGGUUUCGACCACGUUUCGUGCUUAGGAUGCUGGCAUAAUGGCUUUAAUCGACCCGUCUUGAAACACGGACCAAGGAGUCUAACAUGCCUGCGAGUGUUUGGGUGGAAAACCCAUGCGCGUAAUGAAAGUGAAAGUUGAGAUCCCUGUAAGAGGGGAGCAUUGACGCCCGGACCAGACCUUCUGAGACGGAUCCGCGGUAGAGCAUGUAUGUUGGGACCCGAAAGAUGGUGAACUAUGCCUGAAUAGGGUGAAGCCAGAGGAAACUCUGGUGGAGGCUCGUAGCGAUUCUGACGUGCAAAUCGAUCGUCAAAUUUGGGUAUAGGGGCG